UGGUGGGUAGUUUGACUGGGGCGGUCUCCUCCUAAAGAGUAACGGAGGAGCACGAAGGUUGGCUAAUCCUGGUCGGACAUCAGGAGGUUAGUGCAAUGGCAUAAGCCAGCUUGACUGCGAGCGUGACGGCGCGAGCAGGUGCGAAAGCAGGUCAUAGUGAUCCGGUGGUUCUGAAUGGAAGGGCCAUCGCUCAACGGAUAAAAGGUACUCCGGGGAUAACAGGCUGAUACCGCCCAAGAGUUCAUAUCGACGGCGGUGUUUGGCACCUCGAUGUCGGCUCAUCACAUCCUGGGGCUGAAGUAGGUCCCAAGGGUAUGGCUGUUCGCCAUUUAAAGUGGUACGCGAGCUGGGUUUAGAACGUCGUGAGA
Molecule: ribosomal RNA, 368 nt
Filed under: Escherichia coli
Lineage: Bacteria; Pseudomonadati; Pseudomonadota; Gammaproteobacteria; Enterobacterales; Enterobacteriaceae
Description: partial 23S ribosomal RNA
Rfam family: Bacterial large subunit ribosomal RNA
Source: RNAcentral